Molecule: long non-coding RNA, 1024 nt
Organism: Oncorhynchus keta (chum salmon)
Lineage: Eukaryota; Metazoa; Chordata; Actinopteri; Salmoniformes; Salmonidae
Exons: 7
Source: RefSeq, a predicted model, not a curated record
GAGAGAAAGACCCUGUUUUUAGAGUCACAGUAAAGCAGUUAGAAAACAAACUGAAACUAGAAUUCUAGUUUUAGAACCAUGUAGAUGUGUAGAGGUGUUCUGAAACGGUCAUUCUAGAACAGAGUUAAAACGGAGCUGUUCUAGAGGUGGUCUGAAACUAUCAUUCUAGAACAGAGUUAAAACGGAGCUGUUCUAGAGGUGCUCUGAAACGGUCAUUCUAGAACAGAUUUAAAACAGAGCUGUUCUGAAACUAUCAUUCUAGAACAGAGUUAAAACAGAGCUGUUCUAGAGGUGUUCUGAAACAGUCAUUCUAGAACAGAUUUAAAACAGAGCUGUUCUGAAACUAUCAUUCUAGAACAGAGUUAAAACAGAGCUGUUCUAGAGGUGUUCUGAAACUAUCAUUCUAGAACAGAGUUAAAACAGAGCUGUUCUAGAGGUGCUCUGAAACUAUCAUUCUAGAACAGAUUUAAAACUGAGCUGUUCUAGAGGUGUUCUGAAACUAUCAUUCUAGAACAGAUUUAAAACUGAGCUGUUCUAGAGGUGUUCUGAAACUAUCAUUCUAGAACAGAUUUAAAACUGAGCUGUUCUAGAGGUGUUCUGAAACUAUCAUUCUAGAACAGAUUUAAAACUGAGCUGUUCUAGAGGUGCUCUGAAACUAUCAUUCUAGAACAGAUUUAAAACUGAGCUGUUCUAGAGGUGCUCUGAAACUAUCAUUCUAGAACAGAUUUAAAACAGAGCUGUUCUGAAACUAUCAUUCUAGAACAGAUUUAAAACUGAGCUGUUCUAGAGGUGCUCUGAAACUAUCAUUCUAGAACAGAUUUAAAACAGAGCUGUUCUGAAACUAUCAUUCUAGAACAGAUUUAAAACUGAGCUGUUCUAGAGGUGCUCUGAAACUAUCAUUCUAGAACAGAUUUAAAACUGAGCUGUUCUAAGAGGUGUUCUGAAACUAUCAUUCUAGAACAGAGUUAAAACAGAGCUGUUCUAAAGGUGUUCUGAAACGGUCAUUCUAGAACAGAUUUAAAAC